AAGAGGCACUCGUCACAACGGAUCGUCCGGCACGUACCUGCCGGUGAAGGAGUAGAAAUGG
RNAcentral lists this non-coding RNA (61 nucleotides) under unclassified sequences. Its description in RNAcentral is "msiK RNA". It matches the Rfam family "msiK RNA". The record is from RNAcentral.